This 2787-nucleotide ribosomal RNA is filed under the name Escherichia coli. RNAcentral's name for it is "bacterial LSU rRNA". It matches the Rfam family "Bacterial large subunit ribosomal RNA". Lineage: Bacteria; Pseudomonadati; Pseudomonadota; Gammaproteobacteria; Enterobacterales; Enterobacteriaceae. The record is from RNAcentral.
AGCGUACACGGUGGAUGCCCUGGCAGUCAGAGGCGAUGAAGGACGUGCUAAUCUGCGAUAAGCGUCGGUAAGGUGAUAUGAACCGUUAUAACCGGCGAUUUCCGAAUGGGGAAACCCAGUGUGAUUCGUCACACUAUCAUUAACUGAAUCCAUAGGUUAAUGAGGCGAACCGGGGGAACUGAAACAUCUAAGUACCCCGAGGAAAAGAAAUCAACCGAGAUUCCCCCAGUAGCGGCGAGCGAACGGGGAGGAGCCCAGAGCCUGAAUCAGUGUGUGUGUUAGUGGAAGCGUCUGGAAAGGCGCGCGAUACAGGGUGACAGCCCCGUACACAAAAAUGCACAUACUGUGAGCUCGAUGAGUAGGGCGGGACACGUGGUAUCCUGUCUGAAUAUGGGGGGACCAUCCUCCAAGGCUAAAUACUCCUGACUGACCGAUAGUGAACCAGUACCGUGAGGGAAAGGCGAAAAGAACCCCGGCGAGGGGAGUGAAAAAGAACCUGAAACCGUGUACGUACAAGCAGUGGGAGCCUCUUUAUGGGGUGACUGCGUACCUUUUGUAUAAUGGGUCAGCGACUUAUAUUCUGUAGCAAGGUUAACCGAAUAGGGGAGCCGAAGGGAAACCGAGUCUUAACUGGGCGUUAAGUUGCAGGGUAUAGACCCGAAACCCGGUGAUCUAGCCAUGGGCAGGUUGAAGGUUGGGUAACACUAACUGGAGGACCGAACCGACUAAUGUUGAAAAAUUAGCGGAUGACUUGUGGCUGGGGGUGAAAGGCCAAUCAAACCGGGAGAUAGCUGGUUCUCCCCGAAAGCUAUUUAGGUAGCGCCUCGUGAAUUCAUCUCCGGGGGUAGAGCACUGUUUCGGCAAGGGGGUCAUCCCGACUUACCAACCCGAUGCAAACUGCGAAUACCGGAGAAUGUUAUCACGGGAGACACACGGCGGGUGCUAACGUCCGUCGUGAAGAGGGAAACAACCCAGACCGCCAGCUAAGGUCCCAAAGUCAUGGUUAAGUGGGAAACGAUGUGGGAAGGCCCAGACAGCCAGGAUGUUGGCUUAGAAGCAGCCAUCAUUUAAAGAAAGCGUAAUAGCUCACUGGUCGAGUCGGCCUGCGCGGAAGAUGUAACGGGGCUAAACCAUGCACCGAAGCUGCGGCAGCGACACUAUGUGUUGUUGGGUAGGGGAGCGUUCUGUAAGCCUGUGAAGGUGUACUGUGAGGUAUGCUGGAGGUAUCAGAAGUGCGAAUGCUGACAUAAGUAACGAUAAAGCGGGUGAAAAGCCCGCUCGCCGGAAGACCAAGGGUUCCUGUCCAACGUUAAUCGGGGCAGGGUGAGUCGACCCCUAAGGCGAGGCCGAAAGGCGUAGUCGAUGGGAAACAGGUUAAUAUUCCUGUACUUGGUGUUACUGCGAAGGGGGGACGGAGAAGGCUAUGUUGGCCGGGCGACGGUUGUCCCGGUUUAAGCGUGUAGGCUGGUUUUCCAGGCAAAUCCGGAAAAUCAAGGCUGAGGCGUGAUGACGAGGCACUACGGUGCUGAAGCAACAAAUGCCCUGCUUCCAGGAAAAGCCUCUAAGCAUCAGGUAACAUCAAAUCGUACCCCAAACCGACACAGGUGGUCAGGUAGAGAAUACCAAGGCGCUUGAGAGAACUCGGGUGAAGGAACUAGGCAAAAUGGUGCCGUAACUUCGGGAGAAGGCACGCUGAUAUGUAGGUGAAGCGACUUGCUCGUGGAGCUGAAAUCAGUCGAAGAUACCAGCUGGCUGCAACUGUUUAUUAAAAACACAGCACUGUGCAAACACGAAAGUGGACGUAUACGGUGUGACGCCUGCCCGGUGCCGGAAGGUUAAUUGAUGGGGUUAGCGGUAACGCGAAGCUCUUGAUCGAAGCCCCGGUAAACGGCGGCCGUAACUAUAACGGUCCUAAGGUAGCGAAAUUCCUUGUCGGGUAAGUUCCGACCUGCACGAAUGGCGUAAUGAUGGCCAGGCUGUCUCCACCCGAGACUCAGUGAAAUUGAACUCGCUGUGAAGAUGCAGUGUACCCGCGGCAAGACGGAAAGACCCCGUGAACCUUUACUAUAGCUUGACACUGAACAUUGAGCCUUGAUGUGUAGGAUAGGUGGGAGGCUUUGAAGUGUGGACGCCAGUCUGCAUGGAGCCGGCCUUGAAAUACCACCCUUUAAUGUUUGAUGUUCUAACGUUGGCCCCUGACCGGGGUUGCGGACAGUGUCUGGUGGGUAGUUUGACUGGGGCGGUCUCCUCCUAAAGAGUAACGGAGGAGCACGAAGGUUGGCUAAUCCUGGUCGGACAUCAGGAGGUUAGUGCAAUGGCAUAAGCCAGCUUGACUGCGAGCGUGACGGCGCGAGCAGGUGCGAAAGCAGGUCAUAGUGAUCCGGUGGUUCUGAAUGGAAGGGCCAUCGCUCAACGGAUAAAAGGUACUCCGGGGAUAACAGGCUGAUACCGCCCAAGAGUUCAUAUCGACGGCGGUGUUUGGCACCUCGAUGUCGGCUCAUCACAUCCUGGGGCUGAAGUAGGUCCCAAGGGUAUGGCUGUUCGCCAUUUAAAGUGGUACGCGAGCUGGGUUUAGAACGUCGUGAGACAGUUCGGUCCCUAUCUGCCGUGGGCGCUGGAGAACUGAGGGGGGCUGCUCCUAGUACGAGAGGACCGGAGUGGACGCAUCACUGGUGUUCGGGUUGUCAUGCCAAUGGCACUGCCCGGUAGCUAAAUGCGGAAGAGAUAAGUGCUGAAAGCAUCUAAGCACGAAACUUGCCCCGAGAUGAGUUCUCCCUGACUCCUUGA